This 1159-nucleotide long non-coding RNA is filed under the name Cyanistes caeruleus (blue tit). RNAcentral describes it as "lncRNA (ENSCCEG00000022305.1)". Lineage: Eukaryota; Metazoa; Chordata; Aves; Passeriformes; Paridae. The record is from RNAcentral.
GGGGAGGGGAGGGGAGGGGAGGGGAGCCUUGGCGCUCCAGGCACGAUGAGGAUGAAGGGGUUGAGUGUUCAGGGGUGAGGAUCAGGAGAAGGCCAACAAGGCACAGAUCCUGGCAGGAACCUGUUCCAUCCUGGUGGGAGCCUCUUCCAGAGCACCCAGCCACGAGGAAGAGGCAGAUGAAAUAUUCCAUCAGCAGCUGAGAGGAGUCUCACCAUCCCCAGCCCUUUUCCCCACUCCACCUCGCCAGAUGUCUGCUGGAAAUACAGUUGAGAAGGAAAAGUUUUAAAAAGCCUUCAACAAAUUAGAGGGCAGAAAAGAGCUGCAGAAAUUAUUUGGCUAUUAGAAAAAGUUCUUUACUCGGGGAGGUUUGAAGAGUUUAAUCUGUUUAGUUCAUCAGAAAGGCGAUUAGGAGAAGCCUUGAUUACAGUGAAGUGUUUUCCCAGGGAGGAAACAACAGGUACCAAAGGGCUCUAAUCUGGGCCAGGCACGCAGCACGAGCAGCUGGGCCAGGAGCUGGGGCCAGGCAAACUCCAGGAGAGCCGGCACAGCCAGAGGAGCUGCAGAGGAAACGCAGAGGAAAACAGCAAAUUCACCUGUGUGCUUGGGCAGAGCCCCCAGGGUGGGGGAUGACUUUGGGCAGGAGCCUCCACAAGGAUCUGGUGGAACUCUUGGAACAUUCCUAACUACACAAAGCAGCCGUGCUGGCUCUCUCUGCUAUUAUAACAAUUAUAUAUUAAUUAUAAUUAUAUUAAUAAUUAUAUUGCUCAAUAACUGCCUGGAGUUUGCUUCCAUCUGGAACAUUCUUUGUGAGAGGAACAGCUUCUGGAAAGAUCAGUCCAAGGUGAUGACAUCAACAGCACGAGGCCAUUUCAGUCCAACCUGCACAUUUUUUUCCACUUCUGUUAAAAAAAAAACCCACAACAAAAUGCAAUUAGCUGUGGGUGGGAAAACAUGGUUGUUUUCACCAAGAAAUAACAUUAUAUUCCAAUUUUCUGCUAUCGGUGUUUAGCAAAAUUAAGCUCUGAGGUAUAAAACUCCAUAAAGCUUAAUCGGUGUUUUGGAGGCUAAGACAAAUGUAAAGGUAUUUAUCAAUGAAAAUGCACGAUCAAUUUGUUUGGCUUUUAAUGAUCCCAGCUAAUAAAGAGUCAGGGCUGCUGCA